Molecule: small RNA, 1057 nt
Filed under: uncultured cyanobacterium
Lineage: Bacteria; Bacillati; Cyanobacteriota
Description: bacterial SSU rRNA
Rfam family: Bacterial small subunit ribosomal RNA (bases 1-837)
Source: RNAcentral
GCGUAGAUAUCGGGAAGAACACCAUGGGAAAGGCGCUCUGCUGGCCAUACUGACGCUCAUGGAGGAAAGCAGGGGAGGAAAGGGAUUAAUACCCUGUAGUCUUGCCGUAAACGAUGACAUAGGUGUCGGGGGAAUCGAACCCCCGGUGUCGUAGCAACGCGUUAAGUGUUCCGCCUGGGGAGUACGCACGCAAGUGUGAAACUCAAAGGGAAUUGACGGGGGCCCGCACAAGCGGUGGAGUAUGUGGUUAAAUUCGAUGCAACGCGAAGAACCUUACCAGGGUUUGACAUCCUGCGAAUCCCUUGGAAAACUUGGGAGUGCCUUCGGGAGCGCAGAGACAGGUGGUGCAUGGCUGUCGUCAGCUCGUGUCGUGAGAUGUUGGGUUAAGUCCCGCAAACGAGCGCAACCCACGUCUUUAGUUGCCAGCAUUUAGUUGGGCACUCUAGAGAGACCGCCGGUGAUAAACCGGAGGAAGGUGUGGAUGACGUCAAGUCAUCAUGCCCCUUACAUCCUGGGCUACACACGUACUACAAUGCUACGGACAAAGGGCAGCAAACUCGCGAGAGCUAGCAAAUCCCAUAAACCGUGGCUCAGUUCAGAUCGUAGGCUGCAACUCGCCUACGUGAAGGAGGAAUCGCUAGUAAUCGCAGGUCAGCAUACUGCGGUGAAUACGUUCCCGGGCCUUGUACACACCGCCCGUCACACCAUGGAAGUUGGCCAUGCCCGAAGUCGUUACUCCAACCCUUGUGGAGGAGGACGCCGAAGGUGGGGCUGAUGACUGGGGUGAAGUCGUAACAAGGUAGCCGUACCGGAAGGUGCGGCUGAAUCACCUCCUAACAGGGAGACAAAACUGAUCAUGAUGUCUGAGGUUAUCAAGAGAGAUCUUGAUAACACCAAUAAUCUUAGGCCAUGAUCCUGUCAUCUCGAAGGUCGAUCGGUACCUCAGGGAAGCCAAAAGCAAAACCGAAAGGUUGAGGUGUAUGGUUUCCAUCAGUUUCUAAACUUCUGUCUAGGUCACCCCAUAGAGCCCAUCUGGGCCUUUAGCUCAGGUGGUUAG